RNAcentral lists this ribosomal RNA (230 nucleotides) under Pycnococcus provasolii. RNAcentral describes it as "partial Bacterial small subunit ribosomal RNA". It matches the Rfam family "Bacterial small subunit ribosomal RNA", at positions 289 to 511 of the family's 1533-position model. Lineage: Eukaryota; Viridiplantae; Chlorophyta; Pseudoscourfieldiophyceae; Pseudoscourfieldiales; Pycnococcaceae. The record is from RNAcentral.
GGUCUGAGAGGAUGAUCAGCCACAUCGGGACUGAGACACGGCCCGAACUCCUACGGGAGGCAGCAGUGGGGAAUAUUGGACAAUGGGGGCAACCCUGAUCCAGCCAUGCCGCGUGUGUGAAGAAGGCUUUCGGGUUGUAAAGCACUUUCAGUGAGGAGGAAAACCUUACGACUAAUACUCGUGAGGCUUGACGUUACUCACAGAAGAAGCACCGGCUAACUCCGUGCCAG